UCAGUUAGGACAGACAAGUAACUCAGUAAAGUCUACCUGUAUACUUUGGAAAGGUCAAAUCCCUGGCUCCCGUCCCCCUCUAGGUGGGUUACAGAUGACCUUUUUAUUUACCUUUUGACAUAU
This is a long non-coding RNA of Oxyura jamaicensis (ruddy duck), 123 nucleotides long. RefSeq lists it as uncharacterized. The record is from RefSeq and is a predicted model, not a curated record. The transcript is spliced from 3 exons. NCBI's taxonomy places the organism in Eukaryota, Metazoa, Chordata, Aves, Anseriformes, Anatidae.